This 464-nucleotide ribosomal RNA is filed under the name Vreelandella stevensii. Its description in RNAcentral is "partial 16S ribosomal RNA". It matches the Rfam family "Bacterial small subunit ribosomal RNA", at positions 338 to 795 of the family's 1533-position model. The record is from RNAcentral. Lineage: Bacteria; Pseudomonadati; Pseudomonadota; Gammaproteobacteria; Oceanospirillales; Halomonadaceae.
CCUACGGGUGGCAGCAGUGGGGAAUAUUGGACAAUGGGGGCAACCCUGAUCCAGCCAUGCCGCGUGUGUGAAGAAGGCCCUCGGGUUGUAAAGCACUUUCAGUGAGGAAGAACGCCUGGUGGUUAAUACCCAUCAGGAAAGACAUCACUCACAGAAGAAGCACCGGCUAACUCCGUGCCAGCAGCGCGGUAAUACGGAGGGUGCGAGCGUUAAUCGGAAUUACUUGGCGUAAAGCGCGCGUAGGUGGCUUGAUAAGCCGGUUGUGAAAGCCCCGGGCUCAACCUGGGAACGGCAUCCGGAACUGUCAAGCUAGAGUGCAGUAGAGGAAGGUAGAAUUCCCGGUGUAGCGGUGAAAUGCGUAGAGAUCGGGAGGAAUACCAGUGGCGAAGGUGGCCUUCUGGACUGACACUGACACUGAGGUGCGAAAGCGUGGGUAGCAAACAGGAUUAGAUACCCCUGUAGUC